RNAcentral lists this long non-coding RNA (660 nucleotides) under Linum usitatissimum (flax). RNAcentral's name for it is "long non-coding RNA (LUSI_LNC004678)". The record is from RNAcentral. Lineage: Eukaryota; Viridiplantae; Streptophyta; Magnoliopsida; Malpighiales; Linaceae.
CUAUGAAUGUAUGUUCAAUGAAGCAGGUAAAAACUAUGAGCCCGUUUUGAAGUGUCAAGUUGAAGAAGCAGAUUUGGUGUCCAUUAUUAUGGAAGGAUUAUGUGAAGUCAUCUAUAGAGGAGCCUUCCAGGAAGCUGAGAGAGAGCUCUGUAAAUUAAACCAGAAAUAUGUGAAUGAAAAUGAAGCUCGAUCAGUGCUUGAGAUCAAAGCAUUGGAAAAUGUUGCUGAGAAAGAAAACUUACAGAGACAGAUUGUUACACUGGAAACAAUAAUUGAUAAGAAGGAGAAGGCUGCGCAAGAGAUAUUAGAUGCACUGAGAUCAGAGAAGGAAAAAAACAUGUUAAUUUCGCAAGAGGUUGAUAGGUUGAAGGCACAUACUAGUGAGCAGCAGUUAUUAAUUUCACAAAGCAGGUCAGAAUCGGAAGUAAUUAGUGAUCAGCUGCUUGAAGCAUUGGAGAACGUAGAAAUGCACAGGAAUGACAAUUGCAAGCUGAGAAAGAAAAUUGAGCUACUUACAGAGAAGUCCAAGGAAAUUGCCGACGAAAAACUCAAACUCAUCACUGUUGCUGAAGAGAGGCUACAUGCUGUGUCACAGUGUGAGGCCAGAGAAAGGGAAUGGAAAAAACAAACCUUCUCAACAAUUGCUCUUGUGAAUGGUUU